RNAcentral lists this transfer RNA (66 nucleotides) under Anobiinae sp. GENSP01. RNAcentral's name for it is "tRNA-Asp". Lineage: Eukaryota; Metazoa; Arthropoda; Insecta; Coleoptera; Ptinidae. The record is from RNAcentral.
AAAAAUUUAGUUAAUAUAUAACAUUAGUAUGUCAAGCUAAAAUAAUUACAAAAAUAAUAAUUUUUA